This 980-nucleotide ribosomal RNA is filed under the name Staphylococcus aureus. RNAcentral's name for it is "bacterial SSU rRNA". It matches the Rfam family "Bacterial small subunit ribosomal RNA", at positions 28 to 989 of the family's 1533-position model. The record is from RNAcentral. Lineage: Bacteria; Bacillati; Bacillota; Bacilli; Caryophanales; Staphylococcaceae.
GAUGAACGCUGGCGGCGUGCCUAAUACAUGCAAGUCGAGCGAACGGACGAGAAGCUUGCUUCUCUGAUGUUAGCCGCGGACGGGUGAGUAACACGUGGAUAACCUACCUAUAAGACUGGGAUAACUUCGGGAAACCGGAGCUAAUACCGGAUAAUAUUUUGAACCGCAUGGUUCAAAAGUGAAAGACGGUCUUGCUGUCACUUAUAGAUGGAUCCGCGCUGCAUUAGCUAGUUGGUAAGGUAACGGCUUACCAAGGCAACGAUGCAUAGCCGACCUGAGAGGGUGAUCGGCCACACUGGAACUGAGACACGGUCCAGACUCCUACGGGAGGCAGCAGAAGGGAAUCUUCCGCAAUGGGCGAAAGCCUGACGGAGCAACGCCGCGUGAGUGAUGAAGGUCUUCGGAUCGUAAAACUCUGUUAUUAGGGAAGAACAUAUGUGUAAGUAACUGUGCACAUCUUGACGGUACCUAAUCAGAAAGCCACGGCUAACUACGUGCCAGCAGCCGCGGUAAUACGUAGGUGGCAAGCGUUAUCCGGAAUUAUUGGGCGUAAAGCGCGCGUAGGCGGUUUUUUAAGUCUGAUGUGAAAGCCCACGGCUCAACCGUGGAGGGUCAUUGGAAACUGGAAAACUUGAGUGCAGAAGAGGAAAGUGGAAUUCCAUGUGUAGCGGUGAAAUGCGCAGAGAUAUGGAGGAACACCAGUGGCGAAGGCGACUUUCUGGUCUGUAACUGACGCUGAUGUGCGAAAGCGUGGGGAUCAAACAGGAUUAGAUACCCUGGUAGUCCACGCCGUAAACGAAGAGUGCUAAGUGUUAGGGGGUUUCCGCCCCUUAGUGCUGCAGCUAACGCAUUAAGCACUCCGCCUGGGGAGUACGACCGCAAGGUUGAAACUCAAAGGAAUUGACGGGGACCCGCACAAGCGGUGGAGCAUGUGGUUUAAUUCGAAGCAACGCGAAGAACCUUACCAAAUCUUGACAUCC